UUUAGCCACUCAGUUUAUCAAAAACUAUAGAAUAGGUGAAACAAUGUUUCAUUUGGUGAAAGAAUAUAAUGAUUUUUACAAAAGUAAAGAGACUCUGGAGGAGAGAGAAGUACCUUGAAAAGAAGGGUCAAAGUAAUACAUUUUAAAUUACUUCGACCAUUUUUAUUUCUACUGGCUUUUAACCCUUAGCUGUACCUAUCUGCUGAAUUUAACUUGAGCUUGCGAGUACAAAUACUGGAUUUUAAACUUGUAUUUCUUGGUAGUAGAUUUUAUAGUCAUAUGGAGAGUGUUGUCUAGCAGUUACCAGCGUAACAGUGCUCACAGCACCUCCAGAAAUAUGUACUGAAACUUACUCUGCGUUUGAGCCAUCUGCAUUGCUGCAAGAAGAGGAGACCCACAUGCUGACUUCUUCCCCACCCUUUUAUUGUGAAUGUUUCAGUCCCGUCAUGAAUGCUAUGUGGCUGUGCUGUGAACUGGAUCUGGGCGUCAACACAAUGGGCAGGCCUGUUCUUUUGUCCAGUUGUUUCCUGUUACAAGCAGCCUUGCAGGAAAGCAGAGUAUCCCUGUCUUGGCCUGGCAGUGAGAGUGCUUGCAGAACUGGUAGCUGUUUCCUGUUGAUCGUGCUUUUCAGAAUCAGUUCCUACAUGUCUUCAACUGUGCGCUGUCUUUAUCUUGCAAUGAAGAACACCUGGAGAACAGGAGGAAUCACUUGUGAACCGGAAGUAUGCCUUGAGCUACAAAGGAGUAUGAGGAUAUUCAGAGGAGUAUGCAACAUUGUAAGCAAAUUAAAUAUUUACUCUGUUUUGACACCAUGACUAUAGAGAAACAACAUCUUUUAAAGGAACUGCAGUUCUCUCAUGUCCACACAUAUUGACUUAUAACUUUACAAUCUCUAAGCAGGGAAUUGGUUCAAUUAUCCCUCAAGGUGUAAGUUUUCUUGUCUCCUCUUUCCAGGGAGCAGAGAAUAUUAAAAUUAAGUCAUACCCUUUU
RNAcentral lists this long non-coding RNA (990 nucleotides) under Numida meleagris (helmeted guineafowl). RNAcentral describes it as "lncRNA (ENSNMEG00000018845.1)". The record is from RNAcentral. Lineage: Eukaryota; Metazoa; Chordata; Aves; Galliformes; Numididae.